Molecule: ribosomal RNA, 206 nt
Filed under: uncultured bacterium
Lineage: Bacteria
Description: partial 16S ribosomal RNA
Rfam family: Bacterial small subunit ribosomal RNA
Source: RNAcentral
UCGGAUUGAAGGCUGAAAUUCGCCUUCAUGAAGCCGGAAUUGCUAGUAAUGGCAGGUCAGCAUACUGCCGUGAAUACGUUCCCGGGCCUUGUACACACCGCCCGUCACACCAUGAGAGUUGGGAAUACCCGAAGCCUGUGAGCUAACGUAAGAGGCAGCAGUCGAAGGUAGAAUCAAUGAUUGGGGUGAAGUCGUAACAAGGUAUC